Myotis davidii is the source of this 135-nucleotide non-coding RNA. The record is from Rfam. NCBI's taxonomy places the organism in Eukaryota, Metazoa, Chordata, Mammalia, Chiroptera, Vespertilionidae.
AAAAAGGGGGGGCUUCUGUCAUGAGUGGCACAUGUAGGGCAGCUUGAUUGCUCUACAUGCGGAAUUGACAUUAAGAGAUUUCGGAAGCAUAAUUUUUUGCUAUCUGGGCAGCUGAUCGUUGGUCCUGGCGCCCAU